GGAUGAGAGGAUCUGGCUGCGACAUCUGUCACCCCAUUGAUCGCCAGGGUUGAUUUGGCCGAUCUGGCUAAGCGGAUGUCCCCUUCCUCCCUCACCGCUCUAUGUGCGUCCCUCCCGAAGCUGUGCACUGUCAAGAGGACGACCAUUCUCGAUAGAGGAGGACCGUUCUUCAGUCAAGGGUAUACAAGUAGCUGUGCUCCCCUGCUACGACCUCCAAACAAGCUCUCAGGAGGCAGCUAUCGGGAGGAUCCAGUUCAAAGCCAGCCCAGGCAAAUAGGUAGGAAGACCCUACCU
RNAcentral lists this small nuclear RNA (294 nucleotides) under Castor canadensis (American beaver). RNAcentral's name for it is "7SK RNA (ENSCCNG00000011991.1)". It matches the Rfam family "7SK RNA". From Rfam's summary of the family: 7SK was discovered as an abundant small nuclear RNA in the mid-70s but a possible function has only recently been suggested. The record is from Rfam by way of RNAcentral. Lineage: Eukaryota; Metazoa; Chordata; Mammalia; Rodentia; Castoridae.